UACAGAGGUCUCAAGCGUUGUUCGGAUUCAUUGGGCGUAAAGGGUGCGUAGGCGGCGCGGUAAGUCGGGUGUGAAAUCUCGGGGCUUAACUCCGAAACUGCAUUCGAUACUGCCGUGCUUGAGGACUGGAGAGGAGACUGGAAUUUACGGUGUAGCGGUGAAAUGCGUAGAUAUCGGGAGGAACACCUGUGGCGAAAGCGGCGCACUGGACCACAACUGACGCUGAGGCGCGAAAGCUAGGGGAGCAAACAGG
Molecule: ribosomal RNA, 253 nt
Filed under: uncultured bacterium
Lineage: Bacteria
Description: partial 16S ribosomal RNA
Rfam family: Bacterial small subunit ribosomal RNA
Source: RNAcentral